RNAcentral lists this ribosomal RNA (701 nucleotides) under uncultured methanogenic archaeon. Its description in RNAcentral is "bacterial SSU rRNA". It matches the Rfam family "Archaeal small subunit ribosomal RNA", at positions 620 to 1350 of the family's 1478-position model. The record is from RNAcentral. Lineage: Archaea; Methanobacteriati; Methanobacteriota.
UCCGGGGUAGGGGUAAAUCUGUAUCCUAGAAAGACCACCGUGGCGAAGCGUCUCGCUAGACGAUCGACGGUGAGGACGAGCUGGGUCGCAAACGGGAUAGAAUACCCCGUAGUCCAGGGUGUAAACGCUGCAGACUUGGUGUGGGGCCUACGGGGGCGUCAGUGCGAGAGAAGUUGUUAAGACUGCUACUUGGGGAGUACGUCCGCAAGGAUGAACUAAAGGAAUGCGGGGAGCCCGCACGGGAGAGCGUGCGGUUUAAUUGGAUUCAACACGGGAAAACUCACCAGCGGCGACUGUUACAUGAAAGUCAGGCCGAUGACCUUACUAGAUUUUCAGAGAGGUGGUGCAUGGCCGUCGUCAGAUAAGUACCAGUAAGGCGUUCUCUUAAGUGAGAUAACGAACGAGACCCUCACCAAUAGUUGCUAUCCCAUCCUCCGGGGUGGGAGCACACUAUUGGGACCGCUGGCGCUAAGUCAGAGGAAGGAGAGGUCAACGGUAGGUCAGUAUGCCCCGAAUCUGCUGGGCUACACGCGCGCUACAAAGGGCGGGACAAUGGGCUCCGACACCGAGGAGGUGAAGGUAAUCCCGAAACCCGUCCGUAGUUCGGAUGAGGGUGUAACUCACCCUCAUGAAGCUGGAUUCCGUAGUAAUCCGAAUCAACAACUCGCGGUGAAUAUGCCCCUGCUCCUGCUCACACCGUA